Molecule: ribosomal RNA, 465 nt
Filed under: uncultured bacterium
Lineage: Bacteria
Description: partial 16S ribosomal RNA
Rfam family: Bacterial small subunit ribosomal RNA
Source: RNAcentral
CCUACGGGAGGCAGCAGUGGGGAAUAUUGCGCAAUGGGCGAAAGCCUGACGCAGCGACGCCGCGUGAGGGAUGAAGGUCUUCGGAUCGUAAACCUCUGUCAGCAGGGAAGAACGGUCACUGUGCUAAUCAGCAGUGAAUUGACGGUACCUGCAAAGGAAGCACCGGCUAACUCCGUGCCAGCAGCCGCUGUAAUACGGAGGGUGCGAGCGUUAAUCGGAAUUACUGGGCGUAAAGCGCUCGUAGGCGGAAUGUCAAGCCAAGGGUGAAAUCCCCGCGCUCAACGUGGGAACUGCCUUUGAAACUGGCAAACUGGAGAGUGUGAGAGGAUAGUGGAAUUCCAGGUGUAGGAGUGAAAUCCGUAGAUAUCUGGAGGAACAUCAGUGGCGGAGGCGACUAUCUGGCACAUAACUGACGCUGAGGAGCGAAAGCGUGGGUAGCAAACGGGAUUAGAUACCCUAGUAGUC